UUUGUUUGCUUUUCAUUACAGCUGAUGCUAUUGUCAAACCGUAAACUGAUGCUAGGGCUGUGCCAUAGGAUUUUCACUGCUCUAGACAAGAUUUGUCUGAUGUGUUUUCUGGUCCUGAGGGAGUAACAUAAUUCAUGCUUAAGUGGAACAUUCCAUUUCAUAAACAACUAACUGAAAGAAGUGCAUUUAUCUUUAUUUUAACUGAGAAUGCCGGGAGGGGCGGGGGUGCACGUGGGGAAGGAAGAAAGGGAAGAAAGAAUUGCUUGAAUUAAGGAUCCUAUUCUACUUUGGAGAUAAUUCAGACUUUGUUCAUACAAGUAUUUCUGCAAAACAGAUGAUUUCUAGGAAAGCUAUAAAUUUUAUCUCUAAAUAAAAUCUCCAUGAACAGUAAUGCAGAUAAUGAGCAAAGAUAUUUUCCAACCUAAAUGUUUCUAUGAUUCUAUAAUCCUAGAAGAUAUACUUUUGGUGUCCUUUAUUAGAAAUUUGCCUUUGUUAAAUAACUGACUUGUAUUAGUUGGUUCUGACUCACAACAAAUUUCUUGGCAUAUAUUUUAUGUUUUCUCUCCUAAGAGAAUGAUUUCUUUCUUCAUAACUUUGAGGGUUUAACCCCAUGCAUUUCUCAGAACAAAUGUUCCAGGUAAGUUCCGUUGAUGAUUUUUGUCAUCCUGUGCAACAUCCAGACUUAGUCACCACCUUCCUAAAUCUAUAUGAGUGUACAACAUCACUGGAUUUCACCUGCCUGAUGCAAAGACAAACAAAAAGAAAUACUGGAAUGCACAUAUCCAUUGGAAAGAAGUUAUUCUGUUUCAGGGGGUUUGUGCCAAAUGAGCACCAUAUAAUGGAUUACUGCAAAGCACAGUCGUGAAGCUGAGUUUUUGGGCUGUGGAGUCUCCAACACUGCAGGUAUGGAAUUGAUCCCAUUUUGAGAGAAGUGGGAGACAGGGUAGCCACUUGAGGUUUUUUUCUUCUGCAUUGCUUUUAUUGAUUCUUCUACAAUCCAAUAAAAGUUGUUAUUAUAUAACCAUCGGUGAGAAGAGAAGCCGUAACAGCAAGGCAAGAAUGAUAAUCACAAUAAAAAAUUGCUAAAGGAAAGCAAGUCUCUUACUAUAGCUCAACUGCCUGAGCGGUCACUAAAGAAAAUAACUGACUAUUUGAUUUUUUGCUUUAGAGACAUAAGGAAAGAAACAAGAAAAAAUGUGGAAAAGAAAAAAAAAUUUGACUUACCCAAGUUGCAUUAAUAAUAAAUUUUAUUUCACCAGGCAGAUUCAGAUUUCUUUAAAAAAUGGUAUAUUUUUCCCACCAAGAAUAGUAGAGUAGAUGUAGUAAAAAUGUGCAUUGUGCUUGCUAUUCAAAAAGUGCCUUAAUAAAUUAAAUUUUUAAGUGAAAGGAAGGAACACUACCACACCUCUCAGGUGGAUUCUGCAUAAAUUUUAGGUUGCAUAUUUAACCAUAUAUUCCAAGUUCUAUGGAAUUAUAAUGAGAGCAUAGAAAGAUUUAGUAAGGAUAGAGAGUCCUAGAGAGUGAAAACAAUGCUGAAUGAUGCUGAAAACUGAACUGAUGUGCCCCACCUUACUAAGGCUUCAGUGUGAGCAUGUUGCAGGGAGAACAACAAAAGUACACAGUAAUAUAUGCAGUUGCUACAAUUACUACAUAAAUACUCACACAUUAAAAUACAGAAAAAAACCCAAAGCAGUGUUAUACUGGAAUGCAAGAUGAGUGAACACUUGUUACAGAACAGAUGCCUAACUGAAAAAUCCAAGCGUGAGCCACAGGCUUACCCUCUUCGAGAGACCUCAGAAUAUUCAUGAAAGGUAUAGUAUUUUGAAUUCUUGAUCAAAACCUCUCACAUUUUACAUUUGGUCAAAGAAUGUUACUUGAACACUCAAUUCACAACUUAUUUUUCAGGAAUUCCAAAGCAUGAAAUAGUUUGAAGGACUUCAAAGACGUGGACCUUCUAAUUGGUUGCAGGAUACUUUAUUACAGUUGCACUUUUCAAGGUAAAUUUGGAGCAUGUGGUUUGCAGCUGCUGAACUGUGUUCAGAGUUCUGAAAGAUAUCCCUUGGGAUUCCUACUUGUAUCAUUUAUGUAUUUUAAUCCAAAAGAAACAGAAAAAGUGAAGAGCGAAAAACAAAGCCACGGUGGGGAAAGAACAUGCCAUGGACACCUUUUGCUAUCAAGCAUGAUCAUCCCAUGCUGUCAAGGCAUUCAUCUAAGCUUUACAGCCUGGCAGAUAGAGUGGUUACAAAAUGGUUGUAUUGUUUUUUCAUCUUUUCAGAAAAAAAAUGAGGAUUCAGUUCAAUAAAAAGUAUGAACUAUUACCAGCUGGGUCUUGUGUUUCUCUAAAUGAUCUCAUAACACAAAAUGAGCAAUAAGGAGUACAUACUGUAAACUUUAAAUUGAAC
This is a long non-coding RNA of Haemorhous mexicanus (house finch), 2402 nucleotides long. RefSeq lists it as uncharacterized. The transcript is spliced from 3 exons. The record is from RefSeq and is a predicted model, not a curated record. NCBI's taxonomy places the organism in Eukaryota, Metazoa, Chordata, Aves, Passeriformes, Fringillidae.